GACAGAGGCCUCGAGCGUUAGGCGGAAUCACUGGGCUUAAAGCGUGUGUAGGCGGAUCGUUAAGUGCCUUGUGAAAUCCCACGGCUUAACUGUGGAACGGCUGGGCAUACUGGCGGUCUUGAGCCAUCUAGGGGCGACUGGAACAAACGGUGGAGCGGUGAAUGCGUAGAUAUCGUUGGAACGCCAAUGGUGAAAACAGGUCGCUGGGAUGAGCUGACGCUGAGACACGAAGCCAGGGAGGCAAACGGG
Molecule: ribosomal RNA, 249 nt
Filed under: uncultured bacterium
Lineage: Bacteria
Description: partial 16S ribosomal RNA
Rfam family: Bacterial small subunit ribosomal RNA
Source: RNAcentral